RNAcentral lists this ribosomal RNA (389 nucleotides) under uncultured bacterium. RNAcentral describes it as "bacterial SSU rRNA". It matches the Rfam family "Bacterial small subunit ribosomal RNA", at positions 28 to 408 of the family's 1533-position model. The record is from RNAcentral.
GACGAACGCUGGCGGCGUGCCUAACACAUGCAAGUCGAGCGGGAACCUCAGGAGGGGUAACCCACCUGAGGGAGAGCGGCGAACGGGUGAGUAUCACGUGGGCAACCUGCCCCGGACACCGGGAUAACCCAGGGAAACCUGAGCUAAUACCGGAUACUCCGGAGCGACCACAUGGUCGCUCCGGGAAAGCCUUGACGGUCCGGGAUGGGCCCGCGGCCUAUCAGCUUGUUGGUGGGGUAAUGGCCCACCAAGGCGACGACCGGUAGCUGGUCUGAGAGGACGGCCAGCCACACUGGGACUGAGACACGGCCCAGACUCCUACGGGAGGCAGCAGUGGGGAUCGUUGCGCUAAUGCGCGAAAGCGUGACGCAGCGACGCCGCGUGGGGAU